Molecule: ribosomal RNA, 320 nt
Filed under: uncultured bacterium
Lineage: Bacteria
Description: bacterial SSU rRNA
Rfam family: Bacterial small subunit ribosomal RNA
Source: RNAcentral
GAUGAACGCUGGCGGCGUGCUUAACACAUGCAAGUCGAGCGAAGCACUUUGAAUUUUUCGGAAUGAGAAGUGACUGAGCGGCGACGGUGAAGUACGCGUGGUAACCUGCCUCAUACGAGGGGAUAACAGUUAGAAAUGACUGCCUAAUACCGCAUAAGCGCACGUCAUCGCAAUGAUGGUGUGUGGAAAAACUCCGGUGGUAUGAGAUGGACCCGCGUCUGGAUUAGGUAGUUGGUGGGGUAACGGCCCACCAAGCCGACGGAUCAGUAGCCCGACCUGAGAGGGUGACCGGCCACAUUGGGACUGGAGACACGGCCCAA